GGCUCUGAGGAUUGGAUCAAGGGCCCAUUCAUGAAAGCUUAGCUGUCUUGGAACUGCGGAGGCAACGAAGUGGCUCCAGGAUAGCGAACGCUGGAAUGGGUGGGACGUCUUCAUCGGCUUUCCUUGAAUAAUUAACAAUUAACUCAGAACUGAAGCGGACAAGGGGAAUCCGACUGUUUAAUAAAAACAUAGCAUUGUGAUGGCCUGAAAAGGUGUUGACACAAUGUGAAUUCUGCCCAGUGCUUUGAAUGUCAAAGUGAAGAAAUUCAACCAAGCGCAGGUAAACGGCGGGAGUAACUAUGACUCUCUUAAGGUAGCCAAAUGCCUCGUCAUCUAAUUAGUGACGCGCAUGAAUGGAUCAAUGAGAUUCCCACUGUCCCUAUCUGCUACCUAGCGAACACACAGCCAAGGGAACAGGCUUGGAAUAAUCAGCGGG
Molecule: ribosomal RNA, 436 nt
Filed under: uncultured eukaryote
Lineage: Eukaryota
Description: eukaryotic LSU rRNA
Rfam family: Eukaryotic large subunit ribosomal RNA
Source: RNAcentral